CCGUUCUCAGCACACAAUUAAGUUAGUAUUGUUUAGAAUUAGCGCAUCUGGUGGUCACCCUUUAAAACUUUUGCCACCAUAUUCUCUUGUAGAUUCAAAAAGCUGCACCUCGGUGGUGCGCAACAAGGAGCUGGUGGGGUACAAAGUUUUAAGCUAUGGCAUGCUCCACGAGGAGAAAGACGAGGACACUCGCACGGUCACCGAUGCGCUGAAAUCCACGCCGGGAGUCGCCGAGCUCCUCCUGCGACACUGCAAAUGGUUACCCCAAGUUGUCCUGUUUGAGUGGUGCAACAACGAGGAGGCCCUCCGCGACGUCGCCGAUCUGCCGAGGAAUGGCCGCCCCGUGGAGAAUAUAACCAUGAUGAAGGUGAGUACUGAACUGCUAAAAUGCUUAAAAUGCCCACGCCAGUGCAACUCCGGCGAGAUGUGGUCGGCGAAGUGCUCCCACUACAACUGCAAAUUGUGCUAGGGAGACCACAUCGGCAACGCGGAUAGCGCGUGGAUAGAGUGCCUGAAACCGUCAUGCAAGGCGCCCGUCGUCCGGGAACUCGUCGAGGCGGUGGCCGGCGAUCAGCUCAAGGCGCAGUACAACUGGUUGGUGGGCCUGUCGUACGUGAACGACAGCGGCGGCAGGAGAAAGUGGUGCCCUGGCUGCAGUCAUGAGCGUGCCGUCGAGCUCCUCGACGGCGGCGCCAGCGGUUCGACGACGACGACGACGGACGUGUUGUGCGAGUGCAAGCACCGCUUCUGCUGGAACUGAAUCGUGCAUGUGUGGCGGCGGACGACCAAAUAAAAUCACCUCUAAUAGAUGUCGCCGUAGUUCAAUCACCGCUCUGCUUUCCAAUUUUUCCCUCCGCGUCUUCCUCGCCAUCCCUGCCUCUUGCACAGCGCUGCCGAGUCCACCCCCUCCUCCUAUGCGCCGCCAGCCCCGCCGCUUGGGCAGCACUUCCAGCCCCACCUCCCUCCUGUGCGCGCCAGCCCCGCCGCCUGCGCAUCGCUUCCGGCCCCACCUCUCCCUCCCGCGCGCCGUCUCCCGUCUCCCGCAUGCCGCUACUGUUCCCAGCCCCUGUGCGCCGCCGCAAGUUUUCACAAUGGUGUUGACGGAGAGAGCCGAGGCUAUGAAGAUCCAGCGGGUGUUGGUAUUGUGCAGCAGCAGCAGGCCACUGUGUAGGGCCUCUUCCGAUUUGUGCCCGACCAGAACUCCAUCGUCCUCGGCUCCUCUCCAUGGAGUACUUCAACACCAGCCUUUCUUUCCUCAAAGUACUCCCUUUGUUAAAUUGUAUUGUUACUUCUUGCACUGGUUAAUUGAGAUGGCAUGUCAUUAAUUUUAUGACUUCUGAACUUGUAUUGUUGUCCCCUUAAUUUUCAAGAAGGAUAGAAUUUUGCUGUUUCUUCUGAUUUAGGAAUUAGAAUUGGGCAAUGCAUGCACUGAUGUGCACUGAUUUACUCUAACAAAAUUGAAAGUGUAUUGUUGCACUGGUUAGAAAGAAAGGGUAUUCUCCAGCUUCAAUAUGUAGUACUGAAUCAACAUAUGGGAUUUUGUCUCUGAAAAUUCAGAGAGACAAUCAAGGAUUGGUUUCGUUCAAGUUUAUGAAGAGGUUAUGGGGACAUUACUUGUGAUUGCUGCCUAACAAUUAUGUUUCUCUGUCUCAGGCUCUAGCACAGCAGGCAGGUGAGGUGUUCCUGGCUUCCAACUGCUGUUAUGCUCACUACCUUGUGGGCUCGUCAGAUUGCAAAUCUGCCCACCAAGUGGGCAAAUUCAGGAGUAGCCGCUGCCCCUUCCUUCCUUGCUAUCAAGCAGCGGCAUCCCCAUUUUACUUUGGUUCACAAGGCGUCCUUCAGCUCCCAACAUAGCCAACCGACAAGAGGCGCUGCAGGUUAGGAAGGUCAAAGCUUUUUUUGGUUCUGAUGACUUCCUCUAUCAACUUUUUUAUUUUCGGUCACUGAGACAGCUUAAACAAAAAGGUCCGAAGACCUGAAAGCGAGGUUUUUCGUGUGCUGACUAACUGAAGUAUCUGCUAUCUGGGUUGAAGUUAAGAAACCUCAAGUCGCUGUACAAGGAAUUGUUGACUAUUUAGGUGUUGAGAUAGUUAGAUGUAGAAAGGACAAGAUAGGAAGUUCACCAGGAGCUCCACUGCACUAGCAUACAGUGAGUAUGACAUGUCCAUAUUCAAUCUGGACAUUGCGUCUUUGACUGCUCAACAUUGCAUUUAUGCACAUGUAGGUACUGCAACAAUUUGUACUAAAUAUUGCUCUCAGAAUCUGUUUUUCGGCUCAAAAUUGGUCAGUUCUAUUGGAGUUGAAGUAGGCACUAUUUUUUUCUAGCUAAAGCUUGGAUGGAGAUGGAAUUCUGGCAUUGGUCAGUUCUAUUAUGAACCUGGUUGAAGUAGGCACUAUUUUCUGAUGGAUAUUAUUAUGAAUCUGUUUUUCAGCUCAAAAUUGGUCAGUUCUAUUAUUUUGCAUAUUGUAGCUUCCUUCCUUGGUGUCCAAUCUGUGGUUCUGUAAAGUUUGUACCCUCUUUUGUUCUGUUCUGUCAAAACUAUAAGGAAAUUGGAGCUGUCAUGUGGGCCUCAUUAAAUAAGCUAAAAUUUCUUAACUGACAUCAAAAAUAGCAAUAUCAAGCACAUUCAUCCAUGAGAAGAAUCAAGAAUAAUUCAACUGAUCACAUUCAUCCAUGAGAAGAAGAAUCAAGAAUAAUUCAACUGAUCACAUUCAUCACAGCCAGCAUUAAGAAUAAUUCAACUGACCAUAUUCAUCACAGACUAUCAACUUGGCAGCAAGUCUUUCAUCCAUUAUGCAAAACUAACCACAAUGUAGUUUAAAAGACCGAUCGAGAAUAAAUUACAUCAUAAAUUACACACAAUUUUUUGCUCUUUACCCGUUGAUCUAUGCCAUAGCAUCUUGCACCAAUUGCGCUUCACACUUCAGUUGCAAAGGGAGACACCCUUGCCUUUCAAGCAUCUCUUUCCUGAUGUGAGCAACAUCAUAUCCAUUUCUGCCACCAAGUUUCAUAACUUCAUACAUCCAUCGAGAGUCAAGAAAAUUCUAUUUCCUUGGCGCACCGAAUAACGUUCAAAAGCCUGAUCCACAAUAUUGAUAUGUUUUAGAUCAUUUUCUUUUCAUAAUAAGUUGUUGCACACACAAUUGCAAAGGAAAAGCAAACAGGUUCAGAACUCUCACCUAAUCCACAGUGGCUACAAGCUCUUCUGUUGUUUUGGAUGCUGUUUUGUACUUGAUUGACUGAAUAAAGUUAAAUAAACCUAAAUCCAAGACAUUGAAAUCAGGUGAAUUUACUGGCUGACAGACAAGUCUCAUGUCGCACCCAUGUUGCUUAGCAGCCUCACAAAACAUUAUGUUAUUAGGAGCAAAAUGGGGUCUAGCAUUGUCCUCCUGUAUGAAUAUUAGCUUGUUGGCAUCUUCAUGCGGCCACUUAGCACGAAUAGCUGGUAAGACCUUUUUUAUCAUGAAAUCUCGAAUGACUUGCUUUUUUACCGAGUCGAUAUGCUUCAUCUCUAUUGUUCCUGCAGGCUGGUUUGCACUUGACCGCUUGGCUGCUUCAUAUGUCACGAAUGAGAAGCAACCAAUCUUUCCAUCAAACAUGCAAUUGCCAUCAAAAUCAAAUCUUGGCCGAGCAACGAUAAUCAAAAACAUGAUUCUAGGAAUGUAAUUCUUGCUCUUGCAAGUUCGAACCGGUUGUUCUUCACCUGGAAUUGUAUAAUAUCUCUCUGCUUUUCUUGUAAUGUAGUACCACUUUUCAUCAAUGAACCCAUAAUCAAAUAGCCCUUGGAACAUAUGCAUCUAGAUUACUUACAUCUGUAUAUGAUAUUAUGGAGGACCUUUCAAACAAAGUUGAAGGUUACUAGAGGGAUCAUGCACCUUGGAAACAAAUGCUAUUUUUCCUCCUCUCUUCAUUCCUGUACGCCCGACGGGGUUACUAAUUCUCAUUGUUUCAAUUUCAUUUUUUUAACUCAGGACAUAUGUUGCUCCGGAACUAUCACUUGAUGGAGGUAUGUCUAAGACAUUGUCACUUGCUUGGGGCCUCAAAAUUAUGGAGCCAACCAAGUGCGAUGUGUACUCCUUUGGCAUCAUCCUCCUUGAGACCAUGAGCGUCAUGUGGAAAAAAUGCCGCGGCGCUCCUUCCAAAGAAAUCCGCGAACAGUGGGCUAAGAGGCUUGAGAAGAGGGAUCUAUUUGAUCAAGAACUGGUAACUGACGAUUCAAACCGGGUUCUGGCAUUAAGGUGCGUGCUUGUCGGGCUGAUAUGCUGUCUACGUGAGCCGGCACGGUGGCUCUCCAUGGAGGAGGUUGUUGUUAGGAUUGGUGGUCCACGCACGGAGGUUGUUCCAGCAGCCGUGCCGUCGAGUUCCUCAGCCGCGCAGGCGAUUCCAAGGCAGUGAUCUGCGGGUGCAACCACAACGUCUUCCUUGUGCAUUUAUGCUGUUCGGUCUAACUCUGUGCACUAUCUGAAUCUGGAACUCGUUUUCAUUUGUGCGUCUGUUUCUGCCUGAAUGCUAUCGCUAUAUAUGGUAAGGUGCGGAAUUUGAUAUGUGUGUAUUAUCAGAACGCUACUGUGUAAUGUACUACUUAUUAGUAGAGUGUUCAGUGAUGCCCGGAUUUGUAGUAGUAUAUUUGAUUUUUCGC
Molecule: long non-coding RNA, 4640 nt
Organism: Setaria italica (foxtail millet)
Lineage: Eukaryota; Viridiplantae; Streptophyta; Magnoliopsida; Poales; Poaceae
Exons: 2
Source: RefSeq, a predicted model, not a curated record